CAAUAGCGUAUAUUAAAGUUGUUGCGGUUAAAAAGCUCGUAGUUGGAUCUCGGCAGGCAGGGGGUGGUUCGCUCUUAGCGCUACUGCCCCAUUUGCCUGUGUGAUUGGCGGAGGUUUCGGGGUGCUCUCCGUUGAGUGACCCGGGGCGCCGUCAGGUUUACUUUGAAAAAAUUAGAGUGCUCAAAGCAGGCUUUUCACGCUUGAAUAUUCGUGCAUGGAAUAAUGGAAUAGGAACUCGUUUCUAUUUUGUUGGUUUUCGGAAAUCGAGUUAAUGAUUAAUAGGGACAAUUGGGGGCAUUAGUAUUCAGACGACAGAGGUGAAAUUCUUGGACCGUCUGAAGACUAACUACUGCGAAAGCAUUUGCCAAGAGUGUUUUCAUUAA
This 383-nucleotide ribosomal RNA is filed under the name uncultured eukaryote. RNAcentral describes it as "partial 18S ribosomal RNA". It matches the Rfam family "Eukaryotic small subunit ribosomal RNA", at positions 592 to 976 of the family's 1831-position model. The record is from RNAcentral.